This 255-nucleotide ribosomal RNA is filed under the name uncultured bacterium. Its description in RNAcentral is "partial 16S ribosomal RNA". It matches the Rfam family "Bacterial small subunit ribosomal RNA", at positions 524 to 776 of the family's 1533-position model. The record is from RNAcentral.
CACGUAGGGGGCAAGCGUUGUCCGGAUUCAUUGGGCGUAAAGAGCUCGUAGGCGGUUCGAUAAGUCGGGUGUGAAACCUCCAGGCUCAACCUGGAGACGCCACCCGAUACUGUCGUGACUAGAGUCCAGUAGGGGAGCGUGGAAUUCCUGGUGUAGCGGUGGAAUGCGCAGAUAUCAGGAAGAACACCAACGGCGAAGGCAGCUCGCUGGGACGGUACUGACGCUGAGACGCGAAAGCGUGGGGGAGCGAACAGG